RNAcentral lists this ribosomal RNA (420 nucleotides) under bacterium. Its description in RNAcentral is "partial 16S ribosomal RNA". It matches the Rfam family "Bacterial small subunit ribosomal RNA", at positions 355 to 776 of the family's 1533-position model. The record is from RNAcentral.
UGGGGGAUAUUGCACAAUGGGCGAAAGCCUGAUGCAGCGACGCCGCGUGGGGGAUGAAGGCUUUCGGGUUGUAAACCUCUUUCGCUAUCGAACAAGGCCCGCUUAGGGUGGGUUGAGGGUAGGUGGAGAAGAAGCGCCGGCUAACUACGUGCCAGCAGCCGCGGUAAUACGUAGGGCGCGAGCGUUGUCCGGAAUUAUUGGGCGUAAAGGGCUUGUAGGCGGCUUGUUGCGCCUGCUGUGAAAACGCGGGGCUUAACUUCGCGCGUGCAGUGGGUACGGGCAGGCUUGAGUGUGGUAGGGGUGACUGGAAUUCCAGGUGUAGCGGUGGAAUGCGCAGAUAUCUGGAGGAACACCGAUGGCGAAGGCAGGUCACUGGGCCAUUACUGACGCUGAGGAGCGAAAUCAUGGGUAGCGAACAGG